RNAcentral lists this ribosomal RNA (508 nucleotides) under uncultured bacterium. RNAcentral's name for it is "partial 16S ribosomal RNA". It matches the Rfam family "Bacterial small subunit ribosomal RNA", at positions 30 to 523 of the family's 1533-position model. The record is from RNAcentral.
AUUGAACGCUGGCGGCAUGCCUUACACAUGCAAGUCGAACGGCAGCGGGGGAGAAGCUUGCUUUUCCUGCCGGCGAGUGGCGAACGGGUGAGUAAUACAUCGGAACGUGCCCUGUAGUGGGGGAUAACUAGUCGAAAGAUUAGCUAAUACCGCAUACGACCUGAGGGUGAAAGUGGGGGACCGCAAGGCCUCAUGCUAUAGGAGCGGCCGAUGUCUGAUUAGCGAGUUGGUGGGGUAAAGGCCUACCAAGGCGACGAUCAGUAGCUGGUCUGAGAGGACGAUCAGCCACACUGGGACUGAGAAACGGCCCAGACUCCUACGGGAGGCAGCAGUGGGGAAUUUUGGACAAUGGGCGAAAGCGUGAUCCAGCAAUGCCGCGUGUGUGAAGAAGGCCUUCGGGUUGUAAAGCACUUUUGUCCGGAAAGAAAUGGCUCUGGUUAAUACCUGGGGUCGAUGACGGUACCGGAAGAAUAAGGACCGGCUAACUACGUGCCAGCAGCCGCGGUAA